CUUUUACUCAGCUUCAUUGUCCUUUGCCUCACUCUUGAUCCCUUCCUAAUCUAUAGACAGCUCUAUUCCAUGUCAACAUUAUUGUGCUAUUUCAUAUUCCCUUUGCUGGUUCCUGUACUGGGGAAAUUGAUGGGGACAUAACCCUUUUGCCUGCCUUCUCAUCCCAUUUCCAGACCAUCCAGACAUGCCACAUGGAGCAGAUUUCUUUGGUGAGACCUAUGGGCUUCAGGACUGGCUCAGCUCUGACUUCUCAUUUCAGUGGUGGCCAAGAGUCAAGGAUGUACUUCAG
Bos taurus (domestic cattle) is the source of this 289-nucleotide long non-coding RNA. NCBI's taxonomy places the organism in Eukaryota, Metazoa, Chordata, Mammalia, Artiodactyla, Bovidae. The record is from Ensembl.